RNAcentral lists this ribosomal RNA (505 nucleotides) under uncultured bacterium. RNAcentral's name for it is "partial 16S ribosomal RNA". It matches the Rfam family "Bacterial small subunit ribosomal RNA", at positions 28 to 507 of the family's 1533-position model. The record is from RNAcentral.
GACGAACGCUGGCGGCGUGCCUAAUACAUGCAAGUAGAACGCACAGUUUAUACCGUAGCUUGCUACACCAUAGACUGUGAGUUGCGAACGGGUGAGUAACGCGUAGGUAACCUGCCUGGUAGCGGGGGAUAACUAUUGGAAACGAUAGCUAAUACCGCAUAAUAUUAAUUAUUGCAUGAUAAUUGAUUGAAAGAUGCAACUGCAUCACUACCAGAUGGACCUGCGUUGUAUUAGCUAGUAGGUGAGGUAACGGCUCACCUAGGCGACGAUACAUAGCCGACCUGAGAGGGUGAUCGGCCACACUGGGACUGAGACACGGCCCAGACUCCUACGGGAGGCAGCAGUAGGGAAUCUUCAGCAAUGGACGAAAGUCUGACCGAGCAACGCCGCGUGAGUGAAGAAGGUUUUCGGAUCGUAAAGCUCUGUUGUAAGAGAAGAACGGGUGUGAGAGUGGAAAGUUCACACUGUGACGGUAUCUUACCAGAAAGGGACGGCUAACUACGUG